This 496-nucleotide ribosomal RNA is filed under the name uncultured bacterium. RNAcentral's name for it is "partial 16S ribosomal RNA". It matches the Rfam family "Bacterial small subunit ribosomal RNA", at positions 29 to 507 of the family's 1533-position model. The record is from RNAcentral.
ACGAACGCUGGCGGCGUGCCUAAUACAUGCAAGUAGCACGCUGAAGAGAGGAGCUUGCUCUUCUUGGAUGAGUUGCGAACGGGUGAGUAACGCGUAGGUAACCUGCCUUGUAGCGGGGGAUAACUAUUGGAAACGAUAGCUAAUACCGCAUAACAAUGGAUGACACAUGUCAUUUAUUUGAAAGGGGCAAUUGUUCCACUACAAGAUGGACCUGCGUUGUAUUAGCUAGUAGGUGAGGUAAUGGCUCACCUAGGCGACGAUACAUAGCCGACCUGAGAGGGUGAUCGGCCACACUGGGACUGAGACACGGCCCAGACUCCUACGGGAGGCAGCAGUAGGGAAUCUUCGGCAAUGGGGGCAACCCUGACCGAGCAACGCCGCGUGAGUGAAGAAGGUUUUCGGAUCGUAAAGCUCUGUUGUAAGUCAAGAACGGGUGUGAGAGUGGAAAGUUCACACUGUGACGGUAGCUUACCAGAAAGGGACGGCUAACUACGUG